CAAUCUCGCGUCGACGGUCAACCUCGGCGUCGAUACGGUCUCAUGGCGACCUAAAACCAAAAUAAGGGUCAGAUACAAAACACAAACAACUCUCGAUCCAAUCAAGAAAAAGUCUAGAAGUCGCCCCUGUUCCUCCUCAAAAUUAUGUCGUAUGCAGCCGACAUAAUUUCUGCCAGACACUUCUUCAAUCACUCAUUCCACUCUAGGAAUUAAAACAACUCAAUUGCCAACUUUUGCGAUAAGUCACACCUCUCGCGUCUUGCCUUCCUAAGAUUUACCAAACCUACGAUUUUUUAAGUCCCAACGACCUAAUUCUAAGCUCUAAUACCAACUUAAUCUGUCACGCCCCGGAUUAAUCGUUUUCCCGAGCACACCAACAGACCCGCCGUAUACAUAAGAAUUUUUCAUGUAUACGAAGUGAUAGCUACACCUGCAAACAAAUA
RNAcentral lists this long non-coding RNA (443 nucleotides) under Ananas comosus (pineapple). RNAcentral's name for it is "long non-coding RNA (ACOM_LNC034740)". The record is from RNAcentral. Lineage: Eukaryota; Viridiplantae; Streptophyta; Magnoliopsida; Poales; Bromeliaceae.